Molecule: ribosomal RNA, 224 nt
Filed under: uncultured bacterium
Lineage: Bacteria
Description: partial 16S ribosomal RNA
Rfam family: Bacterial small subunit ribosomal RNA
Source: RNAcentral
UACGUGACCUGCCCGCAAGUGGGGGAUACCAGUCCGAAAGGGCUGCUAAUACCGCCUGUGGUCAGCGGGGGUGCCCGCUGAGUAAAGGGUGCUCGCAAGGGUGCCCGCUUGUGGAGGGGCGUGCGGCCGAUUAGCUGGUUGGUGGGGUAAUGGCCUACCAAGGCGACGAUCGGUAGCUGGGCUGAGAGGCCGGACAGCCACACUGGGACUGAGACACGGCCCAG